This 85-nucleotide small RNA is filed under the name unclassified sequences. Its description in RNAcentral is "NAD+-I sequence". It matches the Rfam family "nadA riboswitch". RNAcentral also lists the same sequence under 1 other name. The record is from Rfam by way of RNAcentral.
GGCUUCAACAACCCCGCUGGUUGGGCGCGGAUUUUGUUGAGACGUAGCUCCGCUACGUCUAACGCGCAGUGAACCGGCUGGAGCC